CCAAGGAGUCUAACAUGUGCGCGAGUCACUCGGUCUUGUUUAGGCCAGAGAGGCGCAAUGAAAGUAAAGUUGAUUGAGUUACGAUCCUUAUGUCGGUCAUGUCUUUGCACGUGACGGUAGGGCGCAGUAACAGCCCGCUAAUUUCGCUUGUUGACGAUCUGGCGGAGUUUUAGCGUACACGUUGGUACCCGAAAGAUGGUGAACUAUGCCUGGGCAAGACGAAGCCAGAGGAAACUCUGGUGGAGGUCUGUAGCGAUUCUGACGUGCAAAUCGAUCGUCAGACCUGGGUAUAGGGGCGAAAGACUAAUCGAACCAUC
This 317-nucleotide ribosomal RNA is filed under the name Scutovertex pileatus. Its description in RNAcentral is "eukaryotic LSU rRNA". It matches the Rfam family "Eukaryotic large subunit ribosomal RNA", at positions 666 to 944 of the family's 3401-position model. The record is from RNAcentral. Lineage: Eukaryota; Metazoa; Arthropoda; Arachnida; Sarcoptiformes; Scutoverticidae.